GGAAGCUCUGUGGCUCAGUGGGAGAGCAUCUGUUUGGCGUGCAAAAGGUCCCAGGUUCAGUUCUCAGCAUCUCCA
This 75-nucleotide transfer RNA is filed under the name Sphaerodactylus townsendi. RNAcentral describes it as "tRNA-Ala". Lineage: Eukaryota; Metazoa; Chordata; Lepidosauria; Squamata; Sphaerodactylidae. The record is from RNAcentral.